AUUAAACUUAAAAAAGCUCAGUUAGCUGGUGUGUUUACAAACAUUUUCAACUAGUCCCUGAGCCAGGCUGCUGUCCCCCCCUGCCUGAAGUCCUCUAUUAUUGUCCCCCUCCCUAAGAAGACCAGGAUCAGUGAUCUGAAUGACUAUCGCC
Molecule: long non-coding RNA, 151 nt
Organism: Thalassophryne amazonica
Lineage: Eukaryota; Metazoa; Chordata; Actinopteri; Batrachoidiformes; Batrachoididae
Exons: 3
Source: RefSeq, a predicted model, not a curated record